Molecule: transfer RNA, 82 nt
Filed under: Naumovozyma castellii
Lineage: Eukaryota; Fungi; Ascomycota; Saccharomycetes; Saccharomycetales; Saccharomycetaceae
Also listed under: 1 other name
Description: tRNA-Leu (TAG) (tRNA-Leu-TAG-2-1)
Rfam family: tRNA
About the family: Transfer RNA (tRNA) molecules are approximately 80 nucleotides in length.
Source: RNAcentral
GGGAGUUUGGCCGAGUGGUCUAAGGCGCCAGAUUUAGGUUCUGGUAUCUUCGGAUGCGAGGGUUCGAACCCCUCAGCUCUCA